RNAcentral lists this unclassified non-coding RNA (345 nucleotides) under soil metagenome. RNAcentral's name for it is "partial contains 5.8S ribosomal RNA, internal transcribed spacer 2, and large subunit ribosomal RNA". The stretch from base 1 to 121 matches the Rfam family "5.8S ribosomal RNA", at positions 35 to 154 of the family's 154-position model. The record is from RNAcentral.
GAUGAAGAACGUAGCGAAACGCGAUAAGUAAUGCGAAUUGCAGAAUUUCCGUGAGUCAUCGAAUCUUUGAACGCACAUUGCGCCCACUGGUAUUCCGGUGGGCAUGCCUGUUCGAGCGUCAUUAUCCUCCCUCAAACCCCGGGUUUGGUGUUGGACCCAAGUUGUGUGAACAACUGGUCUCAAAGACAAUGACGGCGUCCGUGGGACCCUCGGUGCAACGAGCUUUUAGGAGCACGCAUCGAGUUGCAAGGACCUUCCGGGCCGGUCUCCUUUACCAUUUUACAAGGUUGACCUCGGAUCAGGUAGGAAUACCCGCUGAACUUAAGCAUAUCAAUAAGCGGAGGA